AAUGAACGCUGGCGGCGCGCCUAAUACAUGCAAGUCGAGCGAGAAGACGUAGCAAUACGUUUGUAAAGCGGCGAACGGGUGAGGAAUACAUGGGUAACCUACCCUCGAGUGGGGAAUAACUAGCCGAAAGGUUAGCUAAUACCGCGUACGCUCCUUGGACUUCGGUUCAGGGAGGAAAGCGAUACCGUGGGUAUCGCGCUCUUGGAUGGGCUCAUGUCCUAUCAGCUUGUUGGUGAGGAACGGCUCACCAAGGCUUCGACGGGUAGCUGGUCUGAGAGGACGAUCAGCCACACUGGCACUGCGACACGGGCCAGACUCCUACGGGAGGCAGCAGUAAGGAAUAUUGCGCAAUGGGCGAAAGCCUGACGCAGCGACGCCGCGUGGGGGAGUGAAGGUCUUCGGAUUGUAAAACCCCUUUCGGGUAGGGAGAUGGAACGAGCAAUCGUUCGGACGGUACCUCCNGAAGCAGCCACGGCUAACUUCGUGCCAGCCGCCGCGGUAA
Molecule: ribosomal RNA, 502 nt
Filed under: uncultured bacterium
Lineage: Bacteria
Description: bacterial SSU rRNA
Rfam family: Bacterial small subunit ribosomal RNA
Source: RNAcentral